RNAcentral lists this long non-coding RNA (748 nucleotides) under Pandoravirus neocaledonia. RNAcentral describes it as "hypothetical ncRNA". The record is from RNAcentral.
AGGACAAUGCCGCCUGCCGGGUCGGGCCGUGCGGUCACGUUGGUAGGGCCUCUAUAUCUCGUGGCCUCGCCAAAUUCCGGCCACCGUCCGAUCGUCUUGACUGAUGCAUGCUCAAUCUUCUCCAUAUGGGCAAACACGUCGGCGUAUGUAGCGGCAGCGUGUGGUCCGCUCCGGUGUGCACAGACCAAUGUGCCCGGCGGUAGAGGCUCCGAAAGGAUGGCGGCGGCCAUGGGAAGGAAAGGGCGCAUGCGGCCGUAUCCCACGAGGGCAUAGCCCAUGACCAAGUCGGCGACCAAAUCGUUCAGUGACGGCCGCGGGCGGCACCAGGCGCCACGCGGCACCGACAGCGGCAGCCCCACCCGACCCUGGUCCAAGGGCGCAGGGAGGCGUGCAUAGCGACGCCUCGUGCUCGGCGUGUCGGGGUGCACGCACCGCCACGCGCGAUGGCACGGCAUUCCGUUGGCGUCCAGGUACUGGCUGACGUAAAUGCCGCGUAGGGGACCCUCGGUGGGGCACGUGGGCAGAUCGCGCGUGGGCUUGCUCACGCCGAGCGCCAUGAUCACCGACGCCAUCUCGGUGCUGGUCGCCAUAAACUGGGCCAACUCAUAGGUCGUCAGGAAAGAGCACAGGUAGGCCAGCACAUCGAGCGGUAACGUGGGCAGCGUGAGCGGACUCGGGGCUCCAUCGAUGGCCAUCUCUCUUUCGUCCUGCAUUUUUUUGUUUCGGUUCUUGACAAAAUGCGAGCGAC